GACGAACGCUGGCGGCGUGCUUAACACAUGCAAGUCGAACGGAAAGGCCCUGCUUUUGUGGGGUGCUCGAGUGGCGAACAGGUGAGUAACACGUGAGUAACCUGCCCUUGACUUUGGGGUAACUUCAGGAAACUGGGGCUAAUACCCGAUAGGAGCUCCUGCUGCAUGGUGGGGGUUGGAAAGUUUCGGCGUUUGUGGAUGGACUCGCGGCUUAUCAGCUUGUUGGUGGGGUAGUGGCUUACCAAGGCUUUGACGGGUAGCCGGCCUGGGAGGGUGAACGGGCACAUGGGGCCUGCGGUACGGCCCAGACUGCUACGGGAGGCAGCGGGGGGGAACAUUGCACAAUGGGCGGACGCGUGAUGUAGCGAUGUCGCGUGCGGAAUGACGGGUUUCGGGUUGUAAACCGAUUUCGCCUGUGACGAAGCCUGAGUGACGGUACUUGGUAAAGAAGCACCGGCUAACUACGUG
RNAcentral lists this ribosomal RNA (468 nucleotides) under uncultured bacterium. RNAcentral's name for it is "partial 16S ribosomal RNA". It matches the Rfam family "Bacterial small subunit ribosomal RNA", at positions 28 to 507 of the family's 1533-position model. The record is from RNAcentral.